Molecule: non-coding RNA, 77 nt
Organism: Methanococcoides burtonii DSM 6242
Lineage: Archaea; Methanobacteriati; Methanobacteriota; Methanomicrobia; Methanosarcinales; Methanosarcinaceae
Source: Rfam
UUGAGCUGUAUGAAAGAAAACUUUCACGUACAGUUCUUAGGCGAGAAAGAGGGAGUAAUCCCUCUGACUUAGCCGAC